GACGAACGCUGGCGGCGUGCUUAACACAUGCAAGUCGAACGGUGAAGCGCUUGCCUUUUUGGUGGGUGUGGAUGAGUGGCGAACGGGUGAGUAACACGUGAGUAACCUGCCCUCUUCUUCUGGAUAACCUCAUGAAAGUGGGGCUAAUACGGGGUAUUCCGGGUCUGUCGCAUGGCGGGUUUGGGAAAGAUUGCGCCUUUGGGUGUUUUCGGUGGGGGAUGGGCUCGCGGCCUAUCAGCUUGCUGGUGGGGUGAUGGCCUACCAAGGCGGUGACGGGUAGCCGGCCUGAGAGGGUGGACGGCCACACUGGGACUGAGACACGGCCCAGACUCCUGCGGGAGGCAGCAGUGGGGAAUAUUGCACAAUGGGCGCAAGCCUGAUGCAGCGACGCCGCGUGAGGGAUGGAGGCCUUCGGGUUGUGAACCUCUUUCGCCAGUGAAGCAGGCCUGCUCCUGUGUGGGUGGGUUGACGGUAGCUGGAUAAGAAGCGCCGGCUAACUACGUG
This 504-nucleotide ribosomal RNA is filed under the name uncultured bacterium. RNAcentral's name for it is "partial 16S ribosomal RNA". It matches the Rfam family "Bacterial small subunit ribosomal RNA", at positions 28 to 507 of the family's 1533-position model. The record is from RNAcentral.